RNAcentral lists this ribosomal RNA (655 nucleotides) under uncultured Frankia sp. Its description in RNAcentral is "bacterial SSU rRNA". It matches the Rfam family "Bacterial small subunit ribosomal RNA", at positions 28 to 674 of the family's 1533-position model. The record is from RNAcentral. Lineage: Bacteria; Bacillati; Actinomycetota; Actinomycetes; Frankiales; Frankiaceae.
GACGAACGCUGGCGGCGUGCUUAACACAUGCAAGUCGAGCGGUAAGGCCUCUUCGGGGGUACACGAGCGGCGAACGGGUGAGUAACACGUGGGUGACCUGCCCUCAGCUCUGGGAUAAGCCUGGGAAACUGGGUCUAAUACCGGAUGUGACCUUGCCUCGCAUGGGGUGGGGUGGAAAGUCCUGGGCUUGAUUGUCUGGGUUCGGCUGGGGAUGGGCCCGCGGCCUAUCAGCUUGUUGGUGGGGUGAUGGCCUACCAAGGCGACGACGGGUAGCCGGCCUGAGAGGGCGACCGGCCACACUGGGACUGAGACACGGCCCAGACUCCUACGGGAGGCAGCAGUGGGGAAUUUUGCGCAAUGGGCGGAAGCCUGACGCAGCGACGCCGCGUGAGGGAUGACGGCCUUCGGGUUGUAAACCUCUUUCAGCCCUGACGAAGCCCUCAUUGGGGGUGACGGUAGGGGUAGAAGAAGCACCGGCCAACUACGUGCCAGCAGCCGCGGUAAUACGUAGGGUGCAAGCGUUGUCCGGAAUUAUUGGGCGUAAAGAGCUCGUAGGCGGUCUGUCGCGUCGGCUGUGAAAUCCCGGGGCUCAACCCCGGGCUUGCAGUCGAUACGGGCAGGCUAGAGUGCGGCAGGGGAGACUGGAAUUCCUGGU